GCAGAAUCCACAGGAGCAGCGGAUCCCGAAGGAGAGCUUUGUGGUUCACCUCGGGUGCAAAAAUUAAAAUAGCAACACAGUCUCAACGUAUUUUCUACUCCUUACAACAUGAAUGCAAGCCAACUGCCAUGCCUGAUAUGUUCCAAGCAUCUGAAAGAAAAUUAUAUCAUGUAAGCAAUUUUUGUUAACAACCAAAACAGUCAAAACAGCCGCUCAGGCCCAAGUACCUUGAGCACAGCAUCUGCAAUAUCAUGAUUGCCAGGAACAGAUUCAACACAGAUAAGUAUAUGGACCUUGCUCUGUGCUGUGCUGCAGAUGUAGGAUGACUUUGCUCACAGAUCUCAAGGGGGAAGUAACCAUGUUACGAUUAUAGAUGGAGAAUACAGAGAAAAUCUAUGCAUGCCCUCUAACAUUUCAAAGUUGAAAAUAACAACCAUGUGGUAGCUUAAGUUUUCCUUUGGUAAACAGAUGAAAUACAGGUUUCCCUCUGGAAGCUGUUGCCAAAGAUGAAAAUAGGGGUGCAUCUGUAUUUAUAAAACCCAUCAAGAUGCAGAGACUGUGCUUGUUGCUUCCUUAUAUACUAGUAUAUAUUCACUGGUAAAAGUAUUGAAACUACUCGUACAGUAAAAUUUACUUAUUUAAUCCUUUGUAGUGAUGAACAAAUAUAUUUAUAAAAUUAUGGUUUGAAAUAAAUGUAUUUGUCUUAAAAAAUUGAUCUGUUUAUUAUGUGGCCUCAAACUUCUGACUGCUGUGGUGAAUUAGUAGUUAUAGGACAUACAUUAAACGUAUUACAAUCAUUACAAUGAAAUGCACUUGUAAAGUUUAAUUUAGACUGCAAUCCUAAACUCACAUAAUUGGAAGUACCGUAAUUCUCAUUGAACCCAAUCAGACUUACUUUUCAAUAGACAUGUAUAGGGUUGCAGCUUCAAGCUCUUUGAAUUAUUGGCAGAGUUGCGGUAGCAGUGUAACUUAGACUUCAUACAUAACUGCUAUAGCUAAACUCCAACCAAGUAUUUUGAGACCAACAACACAAUUUACACUGAACUAAGUUGUCGGGCUAUCUUAAAAAAUGAGGGAAAGGCAGAUCCAGGAAAAUACACAACAGUCAGCCAGAUGCUGACACCAACCAAAAUUAUACAACAGAUUAUUAAGCAAUCGCUCUAUGAGGAUUGUUUACAAGAAGCCACAUGGGUUUUCCAAGAAUGUCAUGUGAGACAAACCUUAUCUACUUAAUUUUAAUUGACAACCUUCUAACUAUAAUUCUAUGAUUCAAAACAAAGAAAUAUCAAAACAGCCCCACAUAAGUUCAUCCCACACAGGAAGAAGGGUAAAGGAAGAAUGUGCAUGCAAAAGUGAGAAUGUGUGAAGGAAGGAAUCCUUCAAAAUCAAAACCUUAUACAUAUUGUUGUUUGAUCCAAAAAUGUAUUCACUAUCUUACAAAGGGUUAGUCAGCACAAACAAGCAAGAAAUGCAUUUAUCCUUAUGCCAUAAUACAUUUGAUAUUACAAUAUUUUACAUACCACAAUUUUUUUGUUCCUUUUGCAGGAAAAGGAGGGGAAAGAAAACUCAGUGGCAGGGAUGGUGAAGGGCUUGCAUAAUGCUGCCAGCAGUAGGCAAUCUGGCCAGGUUGAUAGUAGCAUCCCAUGGUGGACAGCUCCUUGCCUGAGCCUCACUUCAGCGAAGCAUGCAGUCAUGACCAGGACUUGAA
This is a long non-coding RNA of Podarcis raffonei (Aeolian wall lizard), 1708 nucleotides long. RefSeq lists it as uncharacterized. The record is from RefSeq and is a predicted model, not a curated record. Lineage: Eukaryota; Metazoa; Chordata; Lepidosauria; Squamata; Lacertidae. The transcript is spliced from 2 exons.